CCUACGGGAGGCUGCAGUGAGGAAUAUUGGUCAAUGGGCGUAAGCCUGAACCAGCCAAGUCGCGUGAGGGAUGAAGGUUCUAUGGAUCGUAAACCUCUUUUGUCAGGGAAUAAAGUGUGGGACGUGUCCUAUUUUGUAUGUACCUUAUGAAUAAGGAUCGGCUAACUCCGUGCCAGCAGCCGCGGUAAUACGGAGGAUCCGAGCGUUAUCCGGAUUUAUUGGGUUUAAAGGGUGGGCAGGCGGCCUUUUAAGGCAGCGGUGAAAGUCUGUGGCUCAACCAUAGGAUUGCCGUUGAAACUGGGGGCCUUGAGUAUGUUAGAGGCAGGCGGAAUGCGUGGUGUAGCGGUGAAAGGCUUAGAUAUCACGCAGAACCCCGAUUGCGAAGGCAGCCUGCCAAGCCAUGACUGACGCUGAUGCACGAAAGCGUGGGGAUCAAACAGGAUUAGAUACCCGGGUAGUC
RNAcentral lists this ribosomal RNA (460 nucleotides) under uncultured bacterium. RNAcentral describes it as "partial 16S ribosomal RNA". It matches the Rfam family "Bacterial small subunit ribosomal RNA", at positions 338 to 795 of the family's 1533-position model. The record is from RNAcentral.